CCCCCUCUUUCCAUAGUAUUUUCUUCUUUAUAAUGAUAUUAUGGAUUAUGCUUUUAUUGGUUUGCUAAGUUACUGAAUUUGACCCAAGUUUUUUACGCCUUACACAAUCAAAAUUUGUCGAGACUUUAGUGUUUUCUGAUGAAAACAAAAGAAUAGGUUGUUCGACAACCGUUCCGCCAAUCAAACUACAGUUUGAUUAAUUUGAACCUCUUCAUUAAAAGGCUUGAUCAAUCUUAUUUUAUUUGUUACAUAAAAUCAACGAGACUAAAUUCCAUGCCAUCAUCACAGAAUAAUUUUUAAAUAAACUGGGAACUGGGUUCUAUAAAAUAAUCUUAGGUUGGGAUAUAGUAUCUGUUUUAUCUGCAAAAACACCAAUGAGUAUUUCACUCUGCGGGGAAUGGUAAAAAUUGUCAGCUCUGAUUUUUCUUCCCGGUUCAGCACUUCAAAUCAUGUUAUCUAUGUUCAGUGUUUUAGCCAUUUUAUUUGGGAGAUAAUAUAUCUCAAAAAAAUAUUUCUCAUGUCACUAAAAAUAUAUAUAAUUAUAAAUGAGAUUUUCAAAACAAACAGUAAAAAAAAAAACACCAAUUAUCAAGUCCUAUGUUUUCCCUUCCGUCAAAGUGUAGAAUCACUUGACGAGAGGGUUAUUGAUGAGUUGUCAUUGUUUGAAUUACAAAGAGAUUUGAGGUAGUUGUAUAUUGGAUUAAGUAGAUAU
RNAcentral lists this long non-coding RNA (712 nucleotides) under Mytilus galloprovincialis (Mediterranean mussel). The record is from RNAcentral. Lineage: Eukaryota; Metazoa; Mollusca; Bivalvia; Mytilida; Mytilidae.